Molecule: ribosomal RNA, 464 nt
Filed under: uncultured bacterium
Lineage: Bacteria
Description: partial 16S ribosomal RNA
Rfam family: Bacterial small subunit ribosomal RNA
Source: RNAcentral
GACGAACGCUGGCGGCGUGCUUAACACAUGCAAGUCGUACGGAAAGGCCCUUUCUGGGGUACACGAGUGGGGAGCGGGUGAGUAACACGCGCGUAACUUGCCCACCACUUUGGGAUAACGCUCGGAAACUGGUGCGAAUUCUGGAUAUGUGCUCCUGCUGCAUGGUGGGGGGUGGUAAGCUCCGGCGGUUGUGGAUGGACUCGCGGCCUAUCAGCUUGUUGGUGGGGUAGUGGCCUACCAAGGCGGCGACGGGUAGCCGGCCUGAGAGGGUGACCGGCCACAUUGGGACUGAGAUACGGCCCAGACUCCUACGGGAGGCAGCAGUGGGGAAUAUUGCACAAUGGGCGCAAGCCUGAUGCAGCAACGCCGCGUGCGGGAUGACGGCCUUCGGGUUGUAAACCGCUUUCAGCAGGGACGAAGCUUUUUGGGACGGUACCUGCAGAAGAAGCACGGGCUACCUAGGU